CAGUCUGCAACUCGACUGCACGAAGCUGGAAUCGCUAGUAAUCGCGGAUCAGCACGCCGCGGUGAAUACGUUCCCGGGCCUUGUACACACCGCCCGUCACACCAUGGGAGUUUGUAACGCCCAAAGUCGGUGGCCUAACCUUUAUGGAGGGGAGCCGCCUAAGGCGGGACAGAUGACUGGGGUGAAGUCGUAACAAGGUACC
This 202-nucleotide ribosomal RNA is filed under the name uncultured bacterium. RNAcentral describes it as "partial 16S ribosomal RNA". It matches the Rfam family "Bacterial small subunit ribosomal RNA", at positions 1301 to 1500 of the family's 1533-position model. The record is from RNAcentral.